Nasonia vitripennis (jewel wasp) is the source of this 1267-nucleotide long non-coding RNA. RefSeq lists it as uncharacterized. The transcript has 8 exons. Lineage: Eukaryota; Metazoa; Arthropoda; Insecta; Hymenoptera; Pteromalidae. The record is from RefSeq and is a predicted model, not a curated record.
GUAGUGAGCUCCCCACUCCGAUUAUUUCAACCAAUCCCGUCAAAGCAUCUUCCAUCUCUCUCCCGCACGUUAGCAGCUGAUGGUGUGUUGCUUGAUGUCCUCAUUUCUGUCAAUAUUUACAUGGCAACCAGCACCUAGAAAAUUGUUGACUUUAGUAUUUUCAUUCAAAAACAUGAAUAAAAUAAGAAGCCUCUUGCAAGAGGACAAUAUGGAAACUAGGAGAAAUAUAUUGGUCGUUCAAGAGGUUUGCUCGGAGCAAAUCGGAAAAGGAAGUAGGAGCAGAAUGGAGGCAGUACGCUGAUGCAGGUUAUGUUUGGGAGAAGAAAUUUGAUUACUUGAUGAACUAAUCAAUAUGUCUAUCAACUCACCAAGUGAUCUUACAUGAAGAAGAAGUCGCUUAUAACGAUGAAUUAGGAAAGAUACGCCUGUUUCAAAUGAGCAACAAUUUUCUGAAUUUGAUGACAAUGCAAAAUGAUUAAAAGAUGAGGAGCUACAAGCAAAUAUCAUCAAUACUUUGUUCUAAAGGGAUGAUUCAGCUAACAAAAAACAGAAGUGAAGGAUUUUUCUACUGGAACUCUAGCUACUUUACGCAUAUCACACGUAUCAACAUCACUUGAGAUGGAUAAGAAUGAAGAUGGAAUAAAUAUUUUAUGAUAUUUUCAUGAUCCGCCAUGAAAUAUCGCAAUUAAUUACUUGAAUGGAUUUUAUUAAUGGAAUUUUGGUCCCAACAUAAAACUAAGUUACUAUACAAAUUUAAACAAAUAAACCUGGGCGUAGAUUCUUGCUGUGUACUGUGCACCAAACAAAAUCAUAAGUAAACCAAAAAGAAUUUCACAACAAGUAAAUAAGCAGAGAUGUUUUAAAAUAAGACUAAGUAAGGAGACAAUGGAAGAUGCUGCUAAUAAUUUGGAAGAACUUUUGUGUUCAUGAACUACAAGAAUAGAACUACCUGUACUCAAACAUCAUCAUUUUCAGAAUGCAGUAAAAAAAAAACACAAAAGCUUUUUGAAGAACAAUUGGAAAAUAAUAAAGUUUCUUUAAAUGUACAAAGUAAUGCUCUAAGUUACAAAUGCUAUAGAAACUAUAUCAUUUUAAAAGUAUACAUAUAAGCUUGCUUUUCUACUCAAAAGUAUGCAAAAGUCAUAGAUCAUGCAUAGUGCAAUAUUUAAUCAAAUAAUUCACAAAUUAUGAAUGAGAAUAGUUUUUUACGCAAUAUGACGUAUCGAACAGUUGAUUAAAUAAGCAAUAAACUUACUUAAAAAGAAAA